RNAcentral lists this long non-coding RNA (1247 nucleotides) under Sus scrofa (pig). Its description in RNAcentral is "lncRNA (ENSSSCG00025015136.1, ENSSSCG00035058445.1, ENSSSCG00065039456.1)". The record is from RNAcentral. Lineage: Eukaryota; Metazoa; Chordata; Mammalia; Artiodactyla; Suidae.
AUGGGAAAGAAAAGACAGAGAGAAGAAGAAGAGGGUGAAAAGGAAGAAGUCAUAGAAGAGAAUGUGGCAAAGAAGGAGAAGGAAGAAAAUGAAGAACUACAUGACAAGAAGAGAUUAGCCAGCAAACCCCUCCUGGACACCCUUUGGGCAACGUUUAAAUUAAUCAGAUUCCCCACAAGAGGAGUUAUUUCCUCCCUGGCUUUUGAAUUCAGCGUGACAGAAACACAGAUAAAUCAAUGGUUUCGUCAGAAGAGGAAGCUAUACAAAAGAGAAAUAUACAAGAGAUGGAAGAGGUAAGAAUGCUCCCUAUGUAGAACCCAAAGUGGAAAAGGAAUGGAUUGAUCUCUGGGGACAUGUUGGGCUUCCUGUAGUUCGUGGAUAGUCCAUGAGCUUUCUCAUGUUCCAGCCAGACAACUGCUGCCCAAUCUGUCACUCUGCUCAACACACAACAAUGCACACGUAGGGAGUUCCUGUCGUAGUGUAGUGGUUAAUGAAUCCGACUAGGAACCAGGAGAUUGCGAGUUCAGUCCCUGCCCUUGCUCAGUGGGUUAACGAUCCGGCGUUGCCGUGAGCGGUGGUGUAGGUUGCAGACAAGGCUCAGAUCCCGUGUUACUGUGGCUCUCUGGCCUCGGCUGGCAGCUACAGCUCCAAUUGGAUCCCUAGCCUGGGAACCUCCAUAUGCCGCAGGAGCGGCCCAAGAAAUGGCAAAAAGACAAAAAAAAAAAAAAGCACACGUAGGCAUGCCACUUUUCACCAUGUAGCCAUAGUCUCAGAUCGACACCUAGAGCUGUUAGAUUUUUACUGAUGUCAGUGAAGAACUAAUUUUGUCUCUUCUGUUUCCUAGAUGUUGAAUAUGUUGGAUGCUGGUCUUUUCUUGGGGCCUUUUGGCCUCAGAUAUUGACAGAAGCUCAUGUGCCUGGAAGGAAAGAAGAUAAAAACGGCAUCAAUGUUUUAUCAGCCCUGGACUGUCUAGAGAAUUCUGAUGUAUUAUUUAUGUGUUUUUAUGUACAAAUCGUUUAUGUAGUACCUCAAUGGAUCAUCGCUCUAAACCAAAAAUGGGGAAACUGAAUUGCUGGCAAAUAAUGCGAUUUCAUCAACAAGCACCAGUUCCUAAAUGGCUAAGCCUGAAUUUGUACUUUCAUCUUUCAGACACAGAUGCUAUGUUUUCAGUUCUAACUUGAGAAAUAGUCUAGGUCAAUCUGUGUCUCAUAUGCAGUGUUUAUGAACUGCUAAUGAUCUCUCAUAAG